CCGCGGUAAUACGUAGGGCGCAAGCGUUAUCCGGAAUUAUUGGGCGUAAAGAGCUCGUAGGCGGUUUGUCGCGUCUGCCGUGAAAGUCCGGGGCUCAACUCCGGAUCUGCGGUGGGUACGGGCAGACUAGAGUGAUGUAGGGGAGACUGGAAUUCCUGGUGUAGCGGUGAAAUGCGCAGAUAUCAGGAGGAACACCGAUGGCGAAGGCAGGUCUCUGGGCAUUAACUGACGCUGAGGAGCGAAAGCAUGGGGAGCGAACAGGAUUAGAUACCCUGGUAGUCCAUGCCGUAAACGUUGGGCACUAGGUGUGGGGGACAUUCCACGUUUUCCGCGCCGUAGCUAACGCAUUAAGUGCCCCGCCUGGGGAGUACGGCCGCAAGGCUAAAACUCAAAGGAAUUGACGGGGGCCCGCACAAGCGGCGGAGCAUGCGGAUUAAUUCGAUGCAACGCGAAGAACCUUACCAAGGCUUGACAUGAACCGGAAACGCCUGGAAACAGGUGCCCCACUUGUGGUCGGUUUACAGGUGGUGCAUGGUUGUCGUCAGCUCGUGUCGUGAGAUGUUGGGUUAAGUCCCGCAACGAGCGCAACCCUCGUUCUAUGUUGCCAGCACGUGAUGGUGGGGACUCAUAGGAGACUGCCGGGGUCAACUCGGAGGAAGGUGGGGACGACGUCAAAUCAUCAUGCCCCUUAUGUCUUGGGCUUCACGCAUGCUACAAUGGCCGGUACAAAGGGUUGCGAUACUGUGAGGUGGAGCUAAUCCCAAAAAGCCGGUCUCAGUUCGGAUUGGGGUCUGCAACUCGACCCCAUGAAGUCGGAGUCGCUAGUAAUCGCAGAUCAGCAACGCUGCGGUGAAUACGUUCCCGGGCCUUGUACACACCGCCCGUCAAGUCACGAAAGUUGGUAACACCCGAAGCCGGUGGCCUAACCCCUUGUGGGGGGGAGCCGUCGAAGGUGGGACUGGCGAUUGGGACUAAGUCGUACAAG
RNAcentral lists this ribosomal RNA (985 nucleotides) under Arthrobacter sp. LPPA 953. RNAcentral describes it as "bacterial SSU rRNA". It matches the Rfam family "Bacterial small subunit ribosomal RNA", at positions 515 to 1495 of the family's 1533-position model. The record is from RNAcentral. Lineage: Bacteria; Bacillati; Actinomycetota; Actinomycetes; Micrococcales; Micrococcaceae.